CAGAGUUGCAAAACUCCCCAAACCAUCGUGAACCUUUACCGCUAAACAGUUGCUUCGGCGGGUGGCCAGGGGCGCGCGCAAGCCCGCCCCCGGCCGCCGAGCCCGCCGGAGGAAUCCAAAAAACCAUCGCUUUCAGUACCGGCCUCUCUGAGUUACUGUACUUUUAAUUAAGUCA
This 175-nucleotide unclassified non-coding RNA is filed under the name soil metagenome. Its description in RNAcentral is "partial internal transcribed spacer 1". The record is from RNAcentral.